RNAcentral lists this ribosomal RNA (997 nucleotides) under uncultured bacterium. RNAcentral's name for it is "bacterial SSU rRNA". It matches the Rfam family "Bacterial small subunit ribosomal RNA", at positions 356 to 1376 of the family's 1533-position model. The record is from RNAcentral.
GGGGAAUAUUGCACAAUGGGGGAAACCCUGAUGCAGCGACGCCGCGUGGAGGAAGAAGGUCUUCGGAUUGUAAACUCCUGUUGUUGAGGAAGAUGAUGACGGUACUCAACAAGGAAGUGACGGCUAACUACGUGCCAGCAGCCGCGGUAAAACGUAGGUCACAAGCGUUGUCCGGAAUUACUGGGUGUAAAGGGAGCGCAGGCGGGAAGACAAGUUGGAAGUGAAAUCUAUGGGCUCAACCCAUAAACUGCUUUCAAAACUGCUGGCCUUGAGUAGUGCAGAGGUAGGUGGAAUUCCCGGUGUAGCGGUGGAAUGCGUAGAUAUCGGGAGGAACACCAGUGGCGAAGGCGACCUACUGGGCACCAACUGACGCUGAGGCUCGAAAGCAUGGGUAGCAAACAGGAUUAGAUACCCUGGUAGUCCAUGCCGUAAACGAUGAUUACUAGGUGUUGGGGGAUUGACCCCCUCAGUGCCGCAGUUAACACAAUAAGUAAUCCACCUGGGGAGUACGACCGCAAGGUUGAAACUCAAAGGAAUUGACGGGGGCCCGCACAAGCAGUGGAGUAUGUGGUUUAAUUCGAAGCAACGCGAAGAACCUUACCAGGUCUUGACAUCCGAUGCAUAGCACAGAGAUGUGUGAAAUCCUUCGGGACAUCGAGACAGGUGGUGCAUGGUUGUCGUCAGCUCGUGUCGUGAGAUGUUGGGUUAAGUCCCGCAACGAGCGCAACCCUUAUUGCCAGUUACUACGUUAAGAGGACUCUGGCGAGACUGCCGUUGACAAAACGGAGGAAGGUGGGGAUGACGUCAAAUCAUCAUGCCCUUUAUGACCUGGGCUACACACGUACUACAAUGGCGUUAAACAAAGAGAAGCAAGACCGCGAGGUGGAGCAAAACUCAAAAACAACGUCUCAGUUCAGAUUGCAGGCUGCAACUCGCCUGCAUGAAGUCGGAAUUGCUAGUAAUCGCGGAUCAGCAUGCCGCGGUGAAUACGUUCCCG